CAAGCGGAGGAGCAUGUGGUUUAAUUCGAUGAUACGCGAGGAACCUUACCCGGGCUUGAAAGUUGGUGGACGAUUUAGUGAUAGAUCACUUGAGCAAUCACCACAAACUAGGUGCUGCAUGGUGGUCGUCAGCUCCUGCCGUGAGGUGUUGGGUUAAGUCCUCCAACGACCACAACCCCUAUGUUUACUUGCUGCCAUGUUGUAGUGGGGACUCUUCUCAUACUGCUGGUGCAAACAGACACGAAGGAGGGGACGAUGAUGUCUCAUCAUGGUCCUUAUUACCCGCGCUACACCCCUGCUACUAUGGAGGGUAGGACAGGCAGCUGCCUGUUAACAAUAAGGAAAUCUCAAAAAGCCCCUCACUCUUCUUAUAAUCGUCUGCAACUCCACCUCUUGAAGUUGGAUUCGCUAGUAAUCGCGUAUCAUCAAUGAUGCGGUGAAUAAAUUUCCCGGCCCUUGUACACACA
Molecule: ribosomal RNA, 467 nt
Filed under: uncultured bacterium
Lineage: Bacteria
Description: bacterial SSU rRNA
Rfam family: Bacterial small subunit ribosomal RNA
Source: RNAcentral